Sapajus apella (tufted capuchin) is the source of this 7185-nucleotide long non-coding RNA. RefSeq lists it as uncharacterized. The transcript is spliced from 2 exons. The record is from RefSeq and is a predicted model, not a curated record. Lineage: Eukaryota; Metazoa; Chordata; Mammalia; Primates; Cebidae.
CUUAAGACUGAAAAUCCAUGAACAUCUUUGCAUUUGGAUAAAAACUUUACUAUAAAGAGAGAAAUUAUACAGCUUUUUUACACUGUGGUAUGUACAUGGUUUUUCACUAUAAAGAAGUCCUUGUCUACUUAUGACUGUAUUUUUUACAUGAAAUAUGUAACCUAGCACCUUGCAGGUUACAUAUUUCAUGUAAUUAAAAUAUUUGAGGAUGCAUGUUGAUCUCAGUUAUUUUUAAUGGAUCUUAAAUAGGGUUGUAUUUGUACCUUCAACUAUUUUAUUAAUUGUCACAUUUUUCUUCUAGUGGAUCUUUUUCUAAUCUUUGAUGUUUUAUUGUUUGUUUGCUCAUUUAUUCCAUAAAUUUAUUCAAUGCAUCUAUUUCAUGCAAGAGUGUGUUCAGUUCCUUCCUUCUCUUUCUUUAGGAAUUCCUCUCUCUCCCAGAGCACUUCUUUCUCCAAAUCUUCUUUUGCAGAUUUCAUAUCUUUUUUCAUGCUUUGCAGAUUUUUUUUAGUUCAUUUUCUCUUUCUCUGUUAAUUACCUGUAGCAUUCAGUUCGACAUUUUACCUGUACUCCCAUUGUUUACUCCUUCCCUGUCCCUUCCUGCUGUAAUGAGCUCUUCUGAAAUAGAUACAGUGUCUUUCUUUCACAUUUAAGAAAUAGAUUACAAAUGCUUUCUAAAUCCUGUUUUGAUUCUUGUUUCAUUUCAUGGUUUACUGAUUCCAUGCUUCCCAUCCCCACCUGACUCUGCACCCAGGUUCUUAAUGCAUCUUUCUUCUGUCAUACUGACAAACAUUUUCAAUGGUUCAAGUCAUUUAUUCCCCUUUACUUAUUCUUCCUUGAGUUUUUCAUGAUAAUAUGGCUGUUAGCUCUGAAACCUUUGCUUCAGACUGUUUUACUGGCAUUUAAAUAGGCCUUGAAAUUGGAAGGUUCACAGGCGCUCACUCUGACUUCCUUCUGGAGAUCCAAAAACUAUUUCUUGAGCAUAUCAUGUCCUAAAUAAGACACACCUGUAGUGGAUUAACCAUUCAGAAUUAUAUAUGACAUCAGAUAUUACUUUCCUUAUAUCUAUCAAGGUAAAGCCCCAUUACCACUGAGAGUAGUAAGUUAAUUUAUUGAUGAAUUUUCUUGUCAUUUACACCCGCUGGUUGGCAGUUUAAAGAGCACAUGCUUUCAGCAUCUCAUUUAUGUAGCUUAAAUAGUCACCUGUUUUGAAUUGAUUUGAGAGGAAGGAAAGACUGGAUUCAUCGGCAAGUCAUGGAUCAAUUAUUAUAUAAGUUCUAAUGCUACCACUCUCCUAGCAAAAUGGAUGUGAUUAACAUUUAAGCAUGAUGCCUACCCAUGCAUUUUUCGUUUACUGUUUCCUUCAAACCUAUUUGCCAGUUCUUGUGUUGUGAUUCCAAGAAAUGCAUACUUUAAUAAUAAAGACUUAAUUUUCCCUUUGCAUGAAAACAUUCUAAACACCAAGAAGCCUUAUGAAAUUGAAGGCAAGGGAAUAUGAAAGUCCAUUAAACAACAGCAUUAUGUAUGGUCACCCAGGAAUUUGCACACAAAAUUCUGCUAAAGCUAAUGGCAUUUAUGUUCUUCAAGUUUUCCAAACAACGAGUUGAAAAAUAUACCCUCAAGAAUUGUUUAUACCAAGAAGGGCCAACUAUUUAUAAUCACAAGUGGAGUUUCUGCAAAGGUCUCUGCCAGACACUACAGUUGUGGCAUACAUCCCUCCCAGUUUGCAGAAACUCUACUGUUUGAGGUUGAAAGUGAAACAUGAGUCCAAAGAAAUGCGUGCAGCUUUUUCCUAGAAUAAGUUAAAUUCAGAGUGAAAGAACACAGAAGAGGACAAAGGGUAUAGGAAAUCACAGCAUAGGCAGCCCUGCCUUAUUUUUAGUGAAAAGGAUUAGUACUGGUAACCCUGCAGUAAAGCUGAUCGCCUGUGAUCAGAGAGUAGUAUAGUUGUAAUCCCUUUACUAUACCACUAAGUUGAUUGAUUAAAUUAAAAGUUAUGAGUCAAAUACCCUCAGGGCAUCUUGGAAACUUCUUUACUCUCUGCAUAUUCAUAUGGUCCUAAUGACCUUCCACUGGAAGGAAAAAGUGUGUGCUACCUGCAGGGGAUACAUGAAGAAAGGCUUAGGAGGAGGCGAAACUUUUUCACAACCACCAGCAAGAGUUUAAUUAAACUCUAACAUUAUAAGCUUGCCUCAAUUUAAGAGUGAAAUGUACCAGGUUUUUCCUGCACAUGGAGCCUCACAGGGUCUUGCAGCUCAAGUAGAAAGAACAAUGAAAAGCAGAAGGCUUUCUUUUUACAUCUGGCUCCUUGAAAUGGGGCUAAGAGGCUUUCUGGAGGGUUUUGCUGGCUGGGACAGUUAGUGUUUACAGAUGUGAGUGGCUUUCAGUCAUUGCAUGUAAAUUACAUUUGCUUUGUUGCACACACCCUGGGAAAACCAAGAGGAAGAAGAGAAAUAAUGUUCCUUUAUCCGCCCACACACAUUGACAUUCAAGGCACAGUCUUUUCAGGUUUAUUGGGUCCCUAAGCAACCUUUGAAGAGAUCUGUACAUCUGUCCGGCUGUCCCUACUCCAGCAGACAUGGAUUCCUUUGCUUUGCUUUUCAAGUCUCUGGUUCCAUCUUUGGUCCAUUGACUGAAUUUUUUGGUAAACAUUUCUUGCAUUCAGACCUGAGUGGCCACCCAGCUCCUGGGCUAAUUCUGCUUCUCUCUUAAAAUUUGAUCUGUAUUCUGAAGGCGAGUUCAUCAGAAAAAAUAAAUGUGGAAGCUAAAAUCCUAAGAAGUAAACUAAAAUAGGAAGGUGAGAGAGAGAAAAUUCUUGCUGAAAUACUGAAUCCCAAAACCAGAUCAGAACAAUGUGAGAGUUGAAAGGGAGCCUUUCUAAAGUGAGAGAAACUGUCAUCUAGGUUUCUUUUGCAUCCUGCCCCUCCCCAGGAGAGAGUAGUCAAUGGUCAGCAUUCCUCUGAGAGACAAUACAUAUUGUACAUAGUCUGAACAAUAAUGGACGAUCAUGAGAAUCAGAUCAUCUAGGAGUGUUGAAUCUGAUACUUACUAGAGGGCCUUAUAGAAGUUACUUAACCUCUGUGUGCCUCAGUUUUCUCAUCUGUGAAGCAGAGAUAAUCAAAGCACCUAUCUCUUGAAGCAGUUUUAAAGAUGACCUACGUUCAAAGCUAAUCUCCACCAUUUACUACUAGCUGUAGCACCUUGCAAAAGACACUGACUAACUUCUCUGACCUCCAGUCUCCUCUCAGUAAAAUCAGAGUCUACAUCAUUGUAUUGUUAGAAUUGUAUUCUUAGAAUAGGCUUGGAAUAUGAUGAAAGCUCACACAGUGUUAGUCAUUAUUAUUUUAAAAUGAGGCAAUGUAUAAAUGGUUCUUAGUUCAGAACAAGUCCAACAGCAAGAAUUGUGUUAGCUAUGAGUGUAAUGUGCUUAUUUCUAGUUUUGUCCUGCUAUCCACCCAAAUUCUCAACCUUUAGAUAAUGAUUUAGCUCUGAUCUUAUGCUGAUAUCUUGGAUAAGUCUUCUCAUCUGAUUGAUUUCCAUCACCUGGUGAGAAUUUGCUGAGAUUCCAACCUGACUACUGAAUUUCUUCCCAUCCAAGUGGACAGAGGGCCAAGUUCCAGGUAUAUUUUAUCAUCCCUGACUUCACAAAUAUCACUGAAAGUAAAGGGCCCCAAGUUUACAAUUGACAGACACUUUAUAAAAGAUCUUAUACUAUAAGGCCUAACCAGCAAUGAGGAAAUCGAGUUUUCAUUUGUGAUUUUUCCCCCAUCAAAAAUGAAUUUAAUAACAAAUAAAAUAUCCAUUUUAGCAGUCGACCAGACAAACACAUGAAACUAGUCAGCUAAUUUUAAGUUAGUAUUUGAUGGCCUUUUAUUUUGUAAAUAAGAAGACAGAAGUCAGUGGAGUUUGGAAUUUAUGUGUUCUGUGAUUUCUGUUGGCCAAGGUCAGUUUCACUUGACUUCUCUUCCCCUCUUUCCCCACCCAACCCCCAGAAGCACAUAAGCAGUUAUUAGUUGGGAUCUGCCUCUAAGUAUCCUAGAGGCUAAGCAACAAGCAAUUAGAGAAAAAGCAAAGCUGAAAGAAGGUAAGGAAACAACCUAAUUGUUGAGCUGAGCCCUGGGCAGCUCCUGCUCUCUCUGCCUAACCUGGUCUUAGUUGGUCUUCUUAUUUCAGCCUAAAUUAUCACUUCUUCAAGGAAGCUCCUUCUGAUUCACCACAUUGGGCUGGUUCUAGUUCUUAAAGACUCUUUUCAAUUCUUUUUACUCUUCUUACUAUUUAUUGUUCUGUUUAUUAUUCUGCACUUGAACUCCUGGGCUCAAGAAAUCCUCCCGCCUCAGCCUCCUGAGUGGCUGGGACUACAGGUGCAUACCACGAUAAAUAGAGCAUCAAGCUCUAUUUAUUGUUUAGUACAGCUGCUUCAGGUUUCCCUAGGGUUAUGUUCCUCAGGAUAUUCCAUAUAAUUUAAAGCUUACAGAAUUCAAGAUUAAUCCUGAAAAAGGAUUAAGACUGCAUUUUUAAGCCAGCUAUAAAGUGGUACAGCUGUGCACCAAUAACAUAAGCACAGCUUAAAAUUCAUUCAGUCACCAGCUUUGAAAUUAUGAUUAUUGCAAUUUUUAAUUUGGGGAAAGAGAAUUUGCAUUGCUUUACACAUUUUGUGCAUAGAGUGGCUUUACUAAUAUUUUUAAAUCUUUUUAUGUCUUUAUUAAUAUUUUUAUGUUUCUAUGCCUUAUGACAUGUCCAUAUAGGUCCAAGUCAGACUGCUCUAUAAUUAUUUGUUUGAUUGAAUUAACUGGCUCUCCCCAGUAAAGGAUAACUUCCAGGAACUGUAACUAUCCUUUGUUCAUUUCAGUCCACCGAGUGCCUAGCAAAAUGGUAUGUGGUAGACACUCAAGAAACCUGGAAGAAAUUUAAAAGGUUAGGAACUGACACUUUCUGAGAAUAAAGAAGGGAGAUUUUUUUCUUCUCUGUGGGCAGGGAGCACAGCAUCUUUUCCAUCUUGAAGGCAGGAAAGAGUUACCUCUUCCUCUGGGCUCCAUCAGCAUCCUGCCUACUCCUACAUCACAGCACAGAUCCUAAUUGGCAAAAUUAUUAAUCAGUCUCUCUCCCACUGAAAUAGUCACGUCAGACAGAUUCCUUUCUGACUGAAACUGUUCUGCUGUGAAAGACUAACAACAAAGCAGAUGCUCCUUCAUGCCAGGCCAGUUCGAUCUGUUAUCCUACUGGCCAUCUAGAGUAGAAGGAAAACUAGAGCCUUCUAACACCUGACAUCUCCCAAUCCAGGAGAGAAGAAGAGAAAAUUCCCAGUUACCAAGAAGUGAAUUGUAGCUCCCCUUUUUGAGGCUGUAAUGCAAUAGCCAUCCCAUCGCACCAUGGGCCCAGAAACCUAUAAUCUCUUCUUUUAUCUCUUCCUUUGUAAGAAUUAUUGAUUAAUUGCUGUGCUCCCUGUACUGUGUCAAUUGCACAUCUUUUAAACAAUUGCCUGUUGGACUAUACAUUCUCUACCCCACUCUUGGUAUCAAAAUCUGUGUCAGUUAGAGUUCUCCAGAGGGACAAAACCAGUAUGAUAUAUGUGUAUAAAAGGGAGUUUAUUGGGGAGAAUUGUCUCACACAGUUACAGGAUAAAGUCCUGUGAUAGGCUGCCUACAAGCUGGGAAAAGAGAGAAACUGGUAGCCUGGCUCAGUUUAAGUCUAAAAUGCCUCAAAACCAGGGAAUCUGACAGUGCAGCUCUCAGUCUGAGGUCAAAGGCCCAAGAGUCCCUGGAAGGCCACUGGUGCAAGUUGAAGAACCUGAGGUCUGAUGUCCAAGAGCAGGAGGAGUGGAUGGAUCUUCCUCUCCUAGUCCACUGACUCAAAUGUCAGUUUACUCUGGCAACACUCUCACAGAUAUACCCAGACACACAUUUUAUCAGCCAUCUAGGCAUUCUUCAAUCCAAUCAACUUGACAUCUAAUAUUCACUAUCACACCUGCCCUAGGCUAUUGUUUCCCUGAGGACAGAGACUGUGUUUUGUUUGUGACUGUGUCACUAGUUCUUAGCCUAUGUAAAACAAAAUAGACAGCUAGAAGUAUCAAAUGAAUGAGUGAUAAAAGAAUGGAUAGAUGAACUGGGCUUCUGGGGUUCACUCCAUCCCUUGUAAUGAUAUCAAGGAAAUGUCACAAAAGACAAAAUCUAAACCCUCUUUAAAAUCUAUAUUAGUUAAAUUCAUCAUGCUUUCUUUAAUCUGUAAGAGCUGGAAAAAAUCUCUCAUAUUACCCUCAACCCUGGAGCAGCAUUUAUAAUUAGUAUCUUCAAGAUACUACAUAUAUUAGAAACAACAUUGGACAAACUCUCUAUAUGAUGAACACAUCCUUUGCCUUACCUUUCAUUUCCUGUGUCUUCUCUGCUUUUUCCCUGCAUUCUGUGAUUUUAUGGCAGACUCUCAAGAAAGGCAUUAGAGUUGGUUGGGACCAUUACGAUAUCCCCAGCUCCAGCACCAUAUCUGAUAUAGAUUUAGUGCUGAAUACAUGUUACUCAAUGAACUUGCUGCAAGAAGUCUUCACUUUUAAGAGAAUAUUUCAAUUACUUAAAACAAUCAUAGACAGGAGGAACAUGUAUGUACCAACAAUCUUAAUAAGGUUAUUCAGAAUUGUACACACAAAACUCUGCUGAAGCUAACAGCAUUUAUAUGCUUAAGUUUUCCAAACAAUGUGUUGAAAAUAUACCCUGAAGAAUUGUUUAUGCCAAAUAAGGCUGACUAUUCAUGAUCAUGACUGGAAUUGCUGCAUGUUUUGUGCCAGCCACAUCAUUCCUGCCAAACAUCCUCCCAAUUUGCAAGGAUUCUCGGGUUUCAUUUUGAAAAUAAAGCAGUAAAAUGCUUCUUAAGUCCAACUUACGUGGGUCUUAAUUUUCAUUAGCACUUACUUAGGCUCUACUGAUUAGAGUAACAUCUUAACUCUUUUUUGAAAUUCUUGUUUUGAUUGACAAAGUGACAUGGAAUUUUUAAAGUGACAGAUUGACAAAGGAGCACAGAAACAAGUCAAUAGAAUUAUGAUGCUAGCUUGAGUUCUGAAUGCUCAACACUUAAAAAGUGACUCAUACCACCUUUUGUGCCAGAGACACCAACAACCUGAAAGGCUGUCCAUCAGAUAUUUCUAUUUCCGAAACAGGAAAACAGUUCCUUAUUCCAGUGUCUCCGAGCCAAAACUUGUAG